RNAcentral lists this long non-coding RNA (764 nucleotides) under Pan troglodytes (chimpanzee). RNAcentral's name for it is "lincRNA". Lineage: Eukaryota; Metazoa; Chordata; Mammalia; Primates; Hominidae. The record is from RNAcentral.
UUGUUGGCAAACAGUUUCGGGGGUCGUCCGAGCCUGCCGAGAGCAUCCAGGCUGGACUUGAACUCCUUCCUGGGCUGAAGUGAUCCUCCUGCCUCAGCGUCCUGAAUAGGAAGUGGAGCCAGAAUCCACAGAUGUCAUUAUCCAUCUGCACACUUUGUUUACUACCCAGAAGGCAAGAAUAUUGCAUUUUAAAAGUGCCCGGACUUUUGUUCUUUCUUAUCACAAAUGACUUGGGAAGCUCCGACCACUCAUGUUUACCCCGAGUGAAAGUCCCAUUCAAAGCCUUGCUUCCUGGAGAGCUUUGAGAUUCUGGUACAAAAGGCAUUUUAUAAGCACAAAGUGGAAAAGCAUCAUUCAUAUUCAUUUGCUGCUGCGGCAUUUCUCCCUGGAAUCUUCCUCUUGUCUGUCAACAUUGGGCAAAAGGACUGGCCUCAUCUACAUUACAGAUAUCCUUGUGAUGGUCUGGAGGGACCUGUGGGAGAGGCGGCCAUCCAGAGGGCUCUCUGAGGGGUCAUUUAGAAUGCAGCUCUUCUGGGCAGAGGAUGGUCUGCACUGGCCUCCACCGCGCAGGAAGGCUUCCAGAGUGGAGAAAUGUCCACUAACAUGGCUUCUGUGAGGUAUCAUUCUGAUCAUUGUUGUUACAGGAGAGAUGAGAGGAAAUUAGAGGGGCUAGAAGAACCAGGAGACCUGCUAAAAAUCAUGAAUACAAAGAAAAGUCGUUUGCUUCUGUGCUUCAAUUCUAUAAUAAAAUGAGUAUAACGUCA